GUCCACUGCUGCUGUUGGAAUUGAAACCUAAUCCAGAGAAUACAUUUCCUGGUUUCACAGAGAUAAAGGCUGUGUCCAAAUUCAGAGGCUGCAUCCUUCGGAGGCCGUGUUUGUAGGCUGUCCAAAUUCGAAGGCUGCUCCAAAUGCGGCCCACAAGUGCGUCCUCCUUUUCCUCAGAUUUUAAGGAUGGUGUAUCCUUCGUGGCCCACCCUAUCUCAGGAUUCACUGCGAAUCAAAGGUUAAAGAAAUUUUUGGGAGAAAACAGUCGAAGCGAAGCGGUCCAGAAAUAAACUUUUAAAAUCUCCAGAGUCAGGAGAGACUGAGAAGGUGAGAGGAGACGGGACGAGGCUCUCCACCCCUGACGAUACACCAGGAGCAGUGUGUGAGGAAGAGGAGGAGAAAAGGGAGCCAGCAGCAGCUGAGAGAUGCAGAGGAGAACAGGGGGAGAACAGACAGACGUUCUCUGUAGCUGAGGGACUGGUGGAAAUAUUUAAACAGUUUCUAGAUAUUUGCUUCCUGCAUUUGCAGAAGUAUCUCCAACACAAACUGUAACAGCUGCAUACAGGGAACCACUCACUGAUGUUUAUCCUGCAGGACAGGAUCUGACAGGGAAAAAAGGAACAAUAAAGGUCCCAUGGACACCUUUGAUAACAAUUUGUUUUAUCCAGAACAUAUUUAGUUAAAGUAUUGUUUUUAUCACAGUGGAAUUGUGCUGGUUUCACUGGGAAAUGUAUGCAGCUCAUUUAAAUAAAUAGUUCAAAGAGCUGUGAAAAGUUGUCCAUUCAUAAAGUGUGUCAGUAUUUUAUAAGGAUGUCAUGUUUCUGUGUCAUCUCUCUCCUGUUAGAGCCUCUUACACAAACAUCAGCCUGUUUAAUGCUCUCAUAUCUUCAACAUCUUAAAAUACACAGUUUUCUCAUCAAUAAAAGAAUAUUUACUGCA
This is a long non-coding RNA of Oreochromis niloticus (Nile tilapia), 939 nucleotides long. RefSeq lists it as uncharacterized. The transcript has 2 exons. NCBI's taxonomy places the organism in Eukaryota, Metazoa, Chordata, Actinopteri, Cichliformes, Cichlidae. The record is from RefSeq and is a predicted model, not a curated record.